CCCGUGGGCAGCUGCCACAGGGAGCAAGCCGCCGCCGCCACCCCAGCGCAGCUCAUUGCUGCGACUACAGAGCAACCGCACCCUUGAGUGCAGCGGGCCAAACGUUCCUUCGGCUCAGACUGAUGACGUACGCAGUGGUGAGAGUGCACAAAGAGGAGGUCACGUGAGGACAUGGUGAGGAGGCAGCCUGGUCUUGAACUUCCAGUCUCCAGAACUACAUAGGAGACUUCUGCGAGGAACGUGUGAAGAACGUGUGAAGAAUGUGGGCUUUGGUACCUUCUAUGCUGUGAAUGUCCUCCCGCCACAGCUCCAGGUGGGACGUCAUCUCUCGAGCCUUCUCAAUGAACC
Long non-coding RNA from Manis pentadactyla (Chinese pangolin), 348 nucleotides. RefSeq lists it as uncharacterized. NCBI's taxonomy places the organism in Eukaryota, Metazoa, Chordata, Mammalia, Pholidota, Manidae. The transcript has 3 exons. The record is from RefSeq and is a predicted model, not a curated record.